UACGAAGGGGGCGAGCGUUAUUCGGAAUCACUGGGCGUAAAGCGUGCGUAGGCUGUUCUGCAAGUCAGGAGUGAAAGCCCAAGGCUCAACCUUGGAAGCGCUCUUGAAACUGCGGGACUAGAAUUUGGGAGAGGAUAGCGGAAUUGUCAGUGUAGCAGUGAAAUGCGUAGAUAUUGACAGGAACACCAGUGGCGCAAGCGGCUAUCUGGACCAACAUUGACGCUGAGGCACGAAAGCGUGGGGAUCAAACAGG
RNAcentral lists this ribosomal RNA (253 nucleotides) under uncultured bacterium. RNAcentral's name for it is "partial 16S ribosomal RNA". It matches the Rfam family "Bacterial small subunit ribosomal RNA", at positions 524 to 776 of the family's 1533-position model. The record is from RNAcentral.